Molecule: ribosomal RNA, 442 nt
Filed under: uncultured Pseudomonadota bacterium
Lineage: Bacteria; Pseudomonadati; Pseudomonadota
Description: bacterial SSU rRNA
Rfam family: Bacterial small subunit ribosomal RNA
Source: RNAcentral
AACGAACGCUGGCGGUAGGCCUAACACAUGCAAGUCGAACGAGAAUUCAUUUUCGGAUGAAGGACAGUGGCGGACGGGUGCGUAACGCGUGGGAAUUUGCCUUUAGGUAGGGGACAACUAUUGGAAACGAUAGCUAAUACCUUAUAUCCCCCGAGGGGGAAAGAUUUUAUCGCCUAGAGAUGAGCCCGCGUUGGAUUAGCUAGUUGGUGAGGUAAGAGCUCACCAAGGCAACGAUCCAUAGCUGGUCUGAGAGGAUGAUCAGCCACACUGGGACUGAGACACGGCCCAGACUCCUACGGGAGGCAGCAGUGGGGAAUAUUGGGCAAUGGGCGCAAGCCUGACCCAGCCAUACCGCGUGAAUGAAGAAGGCCCUAGGGUUGUAAAGUUCUUUCAAUGGUGAAGAUAAUGACGGUAACCAUAGAAGAAGCUCCGGCUAACUUCG